AUUCUCAACCUAACAAGUUCUUAACGGGACUUGCUUAGGCUUGGACUUGGAGGCUUGUCGGCUGCUUAGCAGUCGGCUCCUCUCAAAUGCAUUAGCUUGGUUCCUUGCGGAUCGGCUCACGGUGUGAUAAUUAUCUGCGCCGCGACCGUUGAAGCGUUUAAUGGCCAGCUUCUAAUCGUCUCUUGCGAGACAGCUUUCAUCGAA
Molecule: unclassified non-coding RNA, 204 nt
Filed under: Polyporus arcularius
Lineage: Eukaryota; Fungi; Basidiomycota; Agaricomycetes; Polyporales; Polyporaceae
Description: ITS2
Source: RNAcentral